RNAcentral lists this long non-coding RNA (2715 nucleotides) under Zea mays. Its description in RNAcentral is "long non-coding RNA (ZMAY_LNC002857)". The record is from RNAcentral. Lineage: Eukaryota; Viridiplantae; Streptophyta; Magnoliopsida; Poales; Poaceae.
UAAAUUGCUCGCGCCGCGCGCGAGUCUAUCUAUCGGUUUUAAACGGCAACAUUUGGAAGGUUUGCAACUAUGCGAAGGUCGCGAGACGAGGACAUACACGUUGCCACCCUCUAGGACCACCUGUCCAGCGUCGUCACCAUGGCGCCCACUCGCAGCUUCGUUGAGGUACGCCCUCUGACCGCGAGACAUGGUCUAGUCGCGGAGACGCAACGGUAAUUAUAGGGGAUUGCGCCAUAUUGCACUGUUGGCGACGACGUUCUUGCUCUUCCUUUCUCACCGUCGUCGUGCUGCUUUAUGUCUUCCCGCUUCCGUUCGUUGACCAACCCAUGGUUGCUUCCUGCCACCCACCACUGCUCUACGUGAUUUUUAUCUUCAGUUCAUUUGGUGUCCUCUAGAAUAAUCGUGAGCUAUCGAAUCACAGAGCAUCCGCUGCACGCGCGAGGAGGUAGUAAGCUGCAACAUCUCUAUUGAAACGUGAUUGUAUGGCUCAAAUAAAAAAGACGGCAUGGACACAAUCAAAUUGGAUAACUUAAUGAUGUGUCUCCUUAGGAUUGCUUCAAAGUUUUUGGGGGCAAAUCUUGCUUUGAUCACCAACCUUAGAUGCCCAUGAAGUGACCCACUUGUUCCCAUUUCAGCAAGUAAAAACAUCAUCACAUGCUCAGGUUGUCUAUGCAUCAUGGAGAUACAAAUUUCAAAGUUAAUUUAUUGUAAAUUUAUCAAUGAAGUAGCAGAGAGCACUUAAAAAGGUGAGGGACUACCAAUUAAAAAUAUGUUGUCACAAUUAUGUUGAAACUUACAUUUUACACAAAUUUAUAAAAGUAACAAAAAAUUAUCUUCCUUGUUCCCUUCCUAAGAACAUGUGGUGGCCUCAUAAUGGUCCUACACCUAUCCCAGCAAGACCUGGUUGUUGUCGCGAAUAAUGUUGAACACCCUGCCCAACAGCCGCAACAGAAAAGCUCAAGGUCAAAUUUCACAAAAAAGGUAACAUAACGGUGUGGUGAUUUGGUUCGUCCAAUGUAGUUAUAUAUUGAAGAUCCACAACAGAAGAAGUAUUGAUAAAGAAUAUUGACAUAUCACAUAUUAACCAAAAGUAUAUGAAUGCUCCCACAGAAACAGGUCUAGGUAGCAUGCAAGUAGUAAACUCGUAACAACAAAAUAUGGUUGUAAUGUCACAGAACAUUAGAACCACCAAGGUGUAAAGCUAUGAGGCAAUUGUGACAUAUCAUAUAUCAGCCAAAAGGCCACCAAAUAGUCACAUGUUUACUAACGGCCAAUGCACAUGGAUCCAUGUUUACGUGGACAAAAUAAUUGGCAAAAAAAUAUUUAAGCACCUGUUCAUAGUUAUAAUCUCGGCCAGUUCCCUCCCAAGGGUAUGUUGGGACACUUCAAAGCAUAAUGCCUUCCCCUAGUUCCUGUACAACUUGAUCAUCUGAAAAGCAGGGAGAGCCAGAUAUUGCAAAAGUACUCAAGUUGAAUUAAAAUCCACCUGAAAUUUUUGUAGGAUGAACAAAUGUAAAGCCUUAAUUCACUGGUUGAUUUUUAAACUUGCACAAUGACUAAAUGUAAAGCCUCGAUUCAUUUUCUGAUUCUUAAACUUGUCUAGUCUAGCUCCCAAUGAGUGUAUCUGUUGUGCCUGUUUAUCUUCCUCAUUCUAGUGAAGUUAAGUACACCGGAUUCUGUGACUGCCAGUGUUUUUUCUGUCUUCUCUGCAAAGUUGUCCAUUCCAUCAGAAGGUUUUUGGAUGACGACCUCCUUAAUUUUCUUCUUCUUGUCGGAUCAAAAGGGGGCAAGUCGUAGGAGAAGAAAAAAUAUAGAUACAUGAACAUGUAGUGGAAUAGAACCUUAAAUGUAACCCACAACUCGCAAGCUCAACCCUAGCUGGAACCGCUAUGAAUCAAGGCAAGCAACCGAACAGGCGAACAACACUAUAAUUAUCAGAAACACUAUCAGCGCAACGAUGGAGAAUACACAGCUCACUUCUGAGGCCUCCUCUCUUCUCUCCGGAUGCUCCUCAUCUGCCAUGGCUGACGUGGUCGCCUUCACCUCCGUGACCAUGUGCGCUGACGCCAUCAACAUGCUCCUUGCCACCCAACAGAAGACGUCAGUUCCGUCAGCCCGCUCACGACAUAGGGAUAUAUGGCUGGCUAAUCCGCCUCCAAUGGCGAGCGGUCAUGGAUGCCGAUAGAGAAGAGGAAAGGGGAGGGGGCUCACAUUUUCGGAUGAUGCCAUCGUCGUCAUGCUUUGCCUAGUCCGCAAUGAGGGGCAGGGCGGCGCCGUGAUCCCCGUCCUCGCCGAGCGCCAUCAACGACAGAUCAUCGGGCGAGUGGUCCAUGCUGGUCGUCGGGCUCUGUCGGCCCCGAUCCUAAAUUCCUAAUCCUCUUACGAUGCGGAAGAAUGAAGAAAAGGUGAAGGGGACUGCAUCGCUCGCCGGUCGGCGCCCGUCUUAGCGGCGCAGGCUCGCUCGCUCCUUGUUUCCCUGCUUCCCUCGCCCGGCGCCUGACGACCGCUUAUUUUUUUGCUGCAUAGAGGAUAAGUUGACUCAUAGACUGGAUUCUGGAAUUAUCGAGUAGAAGCCGAGUCGUUCGUCCACCACCAAGCAUUCGCUGCCGUCAGAAUGCGAUCGCACGGCCUAGAAAAAAGAGACCGACGUGGACGCAGCGAGCGACGAGAUUCCCUCCCCGCUCUAUUAUAAGGAAAUCUCACAGCAGCUGUUCG